Amphiprion ocellaris (clown anemonefish) is the source of this 640-nucleotide non-coding RNA. The record is from the annotation of a RefSeq genome assembly. Lineage: Eukaryota; Metazoa; Chordata; Actinopteri; Pomacentridae.
UGUUUGUUCACAGUGCAGGAGGUUUUUGUACGGCCACUCAAUGAGUUUGUAUCACUGUGGUGGACUUUUGGUGGAGGAACCAAACUCAUCAUUCACUCUGGCCCCAUGGUCAGGCCCUCAGUCUCUCUGCUCCCUCCCUCCUCUGAGCAGCUCUCCGGAGGCUCGGCCACGCUGGCCUGCCUGCUGAGCGGCUACUCUCCUCAGGGAGCCGUGGUGAGCUGGGAGGUGGACGGGACGGAGGUGACAGAGGGGGUCCUGAGCAGCUCCGAGGAGGAGAAGAGCGGACGCUACAGCAGCAGCAGCACCCUGAGCCUGAGCCAGGAGCGCUGGAUGAAAGGAGAGCAGUACUCCUGCCAUGUCCUCCAUCAUGACCACAGGCAGAGCCGCUCCCUCCACAGGAGCCAGUGUCAGGACUAGAGGGAGCAGCUGAAGCCCAGGACAGGAGCUCUGUGUGGGGGGAGCAGGAGGAGCACAGCUGCUGCUCUCAUCACUGUCACUUGGAAUGUUUGUAGAGGAAACUCAAGCUUUGUGUGACAGACACCAACACUGCUGUAAAGUGUUGGACAGCAGGAAUUUAGAGAAUAAAGUGUGCAGCUCAACAGCUUUAUGUGACUUUGCUUCAUAACGGUCAUGUUGAUGU